This 777-nucleotide ribosomal RNA is filed under the name uncultured Neocallimastigales. Its description in RNAcentral is "partial large subunit ribosomal RNA". It matches the Rfam family "Eukaryotic large subunit ribosomal RNA", at positions 23 to 620 of the family's 3401-position model. The record is from RNAcentral. Lineage: Eukaryota; Fungi; Neocallimastigomycota; Neocallimastigomycetes; Neocallimastigales.
AGAGAGAGACAUGCGCGCAUAUCAAUAAGCGGAGGAAAAGAAACUAACAAGGAUUCCCUUAGUAACGGCGAGUGAAGCGGGAAGAGCUCAAAUUUGAAAUCUUCAAGGUUUUACCUUGACGAAUUGUAGUUUAAAGAAGUGUUUUCUGCUGAAGUUUUGGUAAAAGUUCUUUGGGAAUAGGACAUCAUAGAGGGUGAGAAUCCCGUAUUUGACCAUUAUUUUCAGCUUUGUGAUACACUUUCAAAGAGUCGGAUUGUUUGGGAAUGCAGUCCAAAAUGGGUGGUAAAUUUCAUCUAAAGCUAAAUAUUGGCGAGAGACCGAUAGCGAACAAGUACCGUGAGGGAAAGAUGAAAAGAACUUUGAAAAGAGAGUUAAACAGUACGUGAAAUUGUCAAAAGGGAAGCGUUUGACACCAGUGUUGUUUUCUCGAAAAUCAAUUAAAAAUGGCUCGAUCUUUGUAUUGUUGAGACCUUAAAAGCUCACUGUACAUUUUUCGUGUCUUUUUUAAUGCACUUUUCGUUCAACAAGUCAACAUCAAUUUCUUUUGUUGUAAAAGGGUCAUUGGAAGGUGGCUUUCUUUUCGGAGAGAAGUGUUUAUAGCCUUUGGCCUCUGCAAUCGAAGAGACUGAGGUCUGCAGCGUAGACUCUUCGGGGUUAGAUACAUUUGUGCUAAGUUAUAGCUUUUUAUAGACAACUUGUUGACUAUAAUUAGUCUUGUAGCUUACUCGCUUAUGCUAUUUUACCUACGCUUAGGAUGUUGAAGAUGUAGCACAUCAU